Molecule: small nuclear RNA, 183 nt
Organism: Hyla sarda
Lineage: Eukaryota; Metazoa; Chordata; Amphibia; Anura; Hylidae
Product: U2 spliceosomal RNA
Exons: 1
Source: RefSeq, a predicted model, not a curated record
AUCACUUCUCCCCUCCACUCAGGUGUACUAUCUGUUCUUCUGAGUUUUAUCUUUGAUAUGUCCCCUAUCUGGGGACCAUAAAUUAAAUGGAUUUUUGAGAACUGGGGCAGAUUUCGAAGUUUGCUUCCGUCGCCCCAUGCAUUCACCCGAUAGAGCAGUAUCUUCGGGUACAGUACACCAAAA